RNAcentral lists this long non-coding RNA (6154 nucleotides) under Paramuricea clavata. Lineage: Eukaryota; Metazoa; Cnidaria; Anthozoa; Malacalcyonacea; Plexauridae. The record is from RNAcentral.
CUUGAAUAACUUUGCAAGCUUUUUUGCUUGCAGAGAAAUGGAAUAUUCCUUACCUAAAGUGUAGGACAUUGUUUUGUUAUGUUUAGUCAUUUUCAGUUACGGUGAAAGAACAUCGCAAACGUAAGUAGAACAUUGUAUAUCUUUUGCCUAUUCAGUUCAUUGGUUUCCAAGCUUCAAUGAAUGCAUGCUCUGAGGCGCGUAUAUUUUUGUUGAAGUUUUAGUAUGUUUGCACGUUUCAUCUUCAUUUUGUAAUGCUGAGUAAAAUGAGUAAUUACAAUUUUAAUUUUUCCUAUUUUUAAUUUGGUAUGAUUGUCUCAAAACAGCACGCCAAUUUUAACAAAAUUAAUCCCCAGCUCUUUGGACUCGCAGAUAAGCUUUAAAUCCAUUUAAAUUGAUUAAAAUUGUUAGUGACAGCAUUCAUUCUGAACCUCGCGCUUUAUAAAAUAUUUCGAUCUUAUUGCUUUAUAAUAGUGUCUCAUUUGGGUUUUUUUCUGGCCAUAGAAUCACAACUGAUACCUGUGUGCAUUUAAGGUCAGCAAAUCGAAAAAAACACUAUUCCACUACAACAUGCAAGAGUGCUCUGUCUUGUACUGAAGACUGAAGUUUCAAAUGCUUUGGAAUUUUGUUACGCCCAGAGGCAAGCGCAACAACUAAAAAUGUGAACAUAUUUUGUAGAAAUCGUGGUGACUGGAAGCAUCGAGUAGAAGUAUAUAUAAUUGUAUGUGGAAUGAAAUAUAUAGAGAUGAAAGAUUAUUUGAUUUGAUCAUGAAUGCAAAUUUUGGUUAGAAGGUAUUGACAAAAAUUGAAGAUUUUUAUUCUUAAUAUCUGAAAUAGAAAAGAUCAUUAUGUUACAGUCUCUUGCACGUUUCUUAGUAAAUGCCUCCAAAUUCCCCUCGCAAACUUCCAGCAAGCAAAUUUGUGGGACAAUUCCCUUUUCUGGUGGCCUCGUUCUGUUUUAACAGGUUUUGAAAAUAAUUAAUUGUGAUCAGACUUUUGUUUUUUGAAAAAUGCACGCAAACGUACACAUGACCUGACUAAUAAAAUAAUUAUAUAGCCAUCAAAGCCAAUAAAUCACUUUAGACUUUAGUGCAUUCCUCUGGUUAUUCGUCUAUGACAUACGGAUCAGACAGACGGUCACCCAUCCGCUGCGUUUAGUUCUACUCCUAAGUUUACCUUUACCUCUUCACUGCCUCUGUACUGAAAAUACUAACAGUUCAUGCAAUGUUCUUUUUAGAUUCUUUACUUGGUGGCUCGAUUAACUUGUAGCGACUAGAGAACUGUUUAGAACCAGAUAUGAAUUAAAUUUCAAAUGUGGAUUUGCUUGUGACCUCGUUAGAUAAGUAUAUUUCAAAAUGGACAAAGGUAUGUUCUCUGAGUACUCAUUAAAGAGUCUUGUAGUUCGUUUGUGGAGACGAUUUCGUCAUCAACUCUUAUGAACCAAUUUUUUGUCGGAUAUUUUGGGGUUUUUGUAGUUUUAAUCGCGACUUGUGAAGUUGUGUCCAAUCAAAACUUUGAAAAGUUUUAGUCUAUAAAUUUAUAUUAAAGAACAAUUUUUUGUUACAAAACGGAACAAGCAGGAAACAACUUAGUUGUUACUGAACAUUGUGAGUUUCUCAAGCACUUUCCAUUACAACCAAACGACCACUUUGACAAACUCAAUAACCAGACUGAGCAACACUUGCACUGGUAUGACAUACCACUAUACGCUGUAACAAUGAUUACGAAAAACGAUCAACGACAUCCCCGACACGAACUUGAUGAGACCACAGUGGUGUGACCGAUACAAAACAAUACGAGGAAAACGAGACGUACCAACAGCACGCUAUUUGUUUACAAAACGCACGAAACUUUAACGUAACCACCGUGCCAGAAACACUGUAAACGCAACGAAAUCUGACUAAGACGCUGUAUACGAAAAACGAACAGCACAGAAACGAAUAACGGGACCAAAACGCUGAACUUAAUACACUGAACUAUACUGAUGGUAAAAGAACGAACAAAAUGAAUGACUGACAAGAACGGAACUUCGAGUACAAAUAGACUAAUUAGUUCAAUUCUUCAAACUGAACUCACACGGAAGGCGACAUAAAAGCAAUAAUCUAGCAAAUAUAUUGAUUGAAAUUCAAAUAACAGAAACUUAUUAACAUUACUUUGAACAAAACUGUCAAUGCAAAAUGCGGAUAAAAUGACUGCACGACCACGUUUGCCAUUUGUGCUUGGGAAAACGUGCAACUCGCAGCAAUUAAAUUGUACAGGAUAAAUUAUAAGAUAACUUUAGUUCUGAAGAUAUGUACAGUACAUGUUAGUUGAAGUUUGGAGUCAGACAUGGUGUUUUACUGACAAAACUCGCAAGAUAAAAACGAAAAAGGGUAGGCAAAACUGAAAAAUAACGACACUCAUUUAUAGGGUAAUCAAAACGUAGUUACUGAGUAUUUCACAAUUUUAAUCAAAUUUAUUUUUGAUCGAUUUUGACAGGUAGCCAGGUGGGUGAGACGAUAUUUUACGAACAUUGACGGAACUUUACGAAUAUUGACAGAACAGGACUAUACCUCACUGACUGUGACGCAACUAUAACAACGAAAACUGAUGACGUAAUGACAACGACUUUACAACUAAUUACUAACAUUAUACUAACGACUACGCUAUAAAACAACAAACAGUGCAGAAAAUACAAACGACAAGUGAAAAUUAUCGCGACUGUUCAUACUUUUAAUCAUUUGUAGGACGUCGCAAUAAAUUUCAAUAAACGACAAUAUUCAGGAGAAAGUCAGUAAACACAUGUAACUAACAAAAUAAUAUAUACAGUGAAACCACAGGGACAAACCUACCAUUGGUAAACAAACAACCAAACAAACAAACAAACAAAUAAACGAACAAACAAACAAACGAAGAUAUUAACAAACCAUUACAGACAAGCCAACAAAAAACAUAUGAACAGUUAAAUUAAUAAACAACAAAUUGUGACCGACAAAGUGACUAAACGAUAGCUUUCAGACUGACCUGACAAACCUGACAAACCAGUUCUGAAACAUUAUCCACUCAACCUCGUACCCAGGAUCUUACCUAUGCGAAGGUAAGAGCCUGGGCACAGAUAUGGCCUGGGUACGAGGUUGUUACCCACUCUGCCUUGAACAACUUAACGUGACUGACUGACAUACUUUACAAUCAACGGAUAAAUCCCGCGACUAACUGACGAACCAGUAACGACUGACUUCGAAAUACAUACUUAACGAUCUUACUUACUGCGCGAUGACCUUGAACUUAAAUGCCUACAUGAACUAACCAACUCUUGCCAAACUAUGACAAACUAGAACGGGCUUACCUUCUACACAUACCUAUUACUAACUAAAUCGAACUCGACCAACUGACUCGGACAGACUAAAACAUUAACUUUGACCAUUUGCCAUUCCAUUUUCGCUUGUUGGCACACCUACGAACACUAUAGGACUACACGAAUUAUUGAUGGACUUUUCUUUUAACUGAACGAAAUUGACAAAACAACCAACUUUGACCACGACUUACCAACAAACUAGAACUGAUGAUUGUAUGACUAAACAUGACUAACAGAUGUAACUUACUGACCAAACGAUCCAAAUGACUCGACUUGGAAUCGUAGACUAGAUGACUUUUUGACCAGUUACCUUGACUGAUUGACUGACUGACUUACUUUAAAACGAAAUCUUGCCCCGACUUACCAACGAACUGACUGAGACACCAACGACCUACCAACCAUCUUACUGACUGAGUACAUUACUGCUACCAAUCUGACUAAUUACAUUUAUACUGACUUGCCCAAAAAACAAACUAGAAUUACACAUGGCUUUUUUACCUGGACUAUUGACUGGACGAUUGACUGGACGAUUGACUGGACUAUUGACUGGACUAUUGACUGGACUAUUGACUGGACUAUUGACUGGACUAUUGACUGGACUAUUGACUGGACUAUUGACUGGACUAUUGACUGGACUAUUGACUGAACUAUUGACUGGACUAUUGACUGGACUAUUGACUGGACUAUUGACUGGACUAUUGACUGGACUAUUGACUGGACUAUUGACUGGACUAUUGACUGGACUAUUGACUGGACUAUUGACUGGACUAUUGACCGGACUAUUGACUGGACUAUUGACUGGACUAUUGAAUGGACUAUUGACUGGACUAUUGACUGGACUAUUGACUGGACUAUUGACUGGACUAUUGACUGGACUGUUGACUAUGGCAGACGAACCUACAAAAAUGUGUUUAAACUGUUUACCCUGAAGUAAUACGACAUAUCCACUAAGUGCUACUGAAUAACAAAACCACAAAACUGACGUAAAUACAUGAUGACUUAUUAAGCAUGGUUUUCAUUUGGUCGGAACGGUCCCUAACAUAUCGAGGUUGCUGAUGUUAAGACUAGUUUACACCACCAAAGUUUCUGUGAUGACAGCAGGAAUCUUUCAUAGGUAAAUUCUAGGUUUUGAAAGAUUUGUAAUAAAUGUGUGAGGGUAUACUGAUUCAGUGUUUAACACUGAGUCAGUUUCCUCAAACAUUUCUUAUAAAUCCUUCUCAAAACUUAGAAUUUACCUAUGAAAGAUUCCUGCUGUGCUCACAGGAAUUUUGAUAAAAUAAACCAGCCUUUAUAAAAUGGCAAUUAACUCGUCUAUCAAAAAAUUGCUUGUACAUGCAUAUACAGUAGUACACGCAAGCCAAGAUAGAUUCAGAUAGAUAAAAAUAUAUCCAGACUAUUUCACAUCGUCGUAAAUGACUUGCUGACGACAGUUACGACGAAAUGGAAAUCAGGCCUUAUUGACCAACUGACUUACUUAUCAACUAUACCAAGUGACUUAUUAAGGCCCGUUCAAACGAGGCGAACAGGUUCGUCCAGCAUCAUCCAAUAUUCUUGAGUGAAACUUUGCCGGCGUCGUUGGAACACUAUGUUGGGGAGUGCUGUGCAAUGCUGGAUUGAGUUUGACUUUGUUUCAGAAAAUUUUCAUCCAAUAUUGUUCAACAUUGUUGGAUCAUCAGCUCACCGACUUACUGACCAAACAAUACCGAGUGACGUAACUGAUCAACCAUACUAACUCACAUACUGACUUCUAACUGAUUAAGAAAAACUGUUCGAAAUUGACAAAACGACCAACUAACUUGACUGAACAAAUAUGUGCCACUUAACACCUGACCAAUCUAACACCGACGUAGACUAACCAACCAACUAACUUAUUAUUUACAAAACCAACUGACAUUUAAUGACUAAAUUACUUACAUACUUAUGGUGACUCUAACUUACCAACUGACGUACUGACUAAAUUACUUACCAACCAACUGGUUUACUGACAACUACCAUUUGCAAACGAUUUACUGCCAACGACAAAAAGCAUGCUUGGUGACACACCCUUGUAUAUUACAACAUGUAAGUAACUAUACUAACUGAACAACUGCAUGACUUAAACUGACUUGAUGACCACUUGACUUCUUACCAACUACCAACCAACUUAAACAAGUAACUACUGCAGACUCACAGAACAACUGCUUGACUUAAACUGACUUAAUUAAUGACCAGCUGACUUCUUACCAACUACCAAUCAACUUAAACAAAUAACUAACUACUGACUCACUGAACAACUGUUUGACUUAAACUGACUUAAUUAAUAACCAGCUGACUUUUUACCAACUACCAACCAACUUAAUUAACUUACUGACCAACUAAACCGACUAAUUAGCGACCAGUUCUGACCAACUGUUCAAUGAUAAGCUAGCUUACUAAUUAAGCUACCUAUACCAAAUUGUCCAAAUACCAACUAACGUAAUGACUUCUUGACCAACUGAUUUACUGAAGAAUUAGUGAUUUACCAUUUGACUGACUAACCAAGCACCAACUAGUUCAAUGACCAACUACCAACAUACUUAUUAAACAACUAACAGGACUGACGUACUGACCAUUUCAACUUCCAACAAAACUACAAACUAACAUAAUGACUUAUUGACCAACUAUCAACUUACUUACCAACUGACGUUCUCACCAACUAUUUACUAACUAGUAGUGACGAACUAAACUGACUUAGGGACCAACCAAUUCUAACCAACCAACCAACCAACCAACCAACCAACCAACCAACCAACCAACCAACCAACCAACCAACCAACCAACCAACCAACCAACCAACCAACCAAC